GACGAACGCUGGCGGCGUGCCUAAUACAUGCAAGUAGAACGCUGAAGGAGGAGCUUGCUCUUCUGGAUGAGUUGCGAACGGGUGAGUAACGCGUAGGUAACCUGCCUGGUAGCGGGGGAUAACUAUUGGAAACGAUAGCUAAUACCGCAUAACAGUAGAUGUUGCAUGACAUUUGCUUAAAAGGUGCAAUUGCACCACUACCAGAUGGACCUGCGUUGUAUUAGCUAGUUGGUGGGGUAACGGCUCACCAAGGCGACGAUACAUAGCCGACCUGAGAGGGUGAUCGGCCACACUGGGACUGAGACACGGCCCAGACGCCUACGGGAGGCAGCAGUAGGGAAUCUUCGGCAAUGGACGGAAGUCUGACCGAGCAACGCCGCGUGAGUGAAGAAGGUUUUCGGAUCGUAAAGCUCUGUUGUAAGAGAAGAACGAGUGUGAGAGUGGAAAGUUCACACUGUGACGGUAUCUUACCAGAAAGGGACGGCUAACUACGUG
Molecule: ribosomal RNA, 495 nt
Filed under: uncultured bacterium
Lineage: Bacteria
Description: partial 16S ribosomal RNA
Rfam family: Bacterial small subunit ribosomal RNA
Source: RNAcentral